AUUGAACGCUGGCGGCAGGCCUAACACAUGCAAGUCGAGCGGAUGAAGGGAGCUUGCUCCUGGAUUCAGCGGCGGACGGGUGAGUAAUGCCUAGGAAUCUGCCUGGUAGUGGGGGAUAACGUCCGGAAACGGGCGCUAAUACCGCAUACGUCCUGAGGGAGAAAGUGGGGGAUCUUCGGACCUCACGCUAUCAGAUGAGCCGAGGUCGGAUUAGCUAGAUGGUGGGGUAAAGGCCUACCAAGGCGACGAUCCGUAACUGGUCUGAGAGGAUGAUCAGUCACACUGGAACUGAGACACGGUCCAGACUCCUACGGGAGGCAGCAGUGGGGAAUAUUGGACAAUGGGCGAAAGCCUGAUCCAGCCAUGCCGCGUGUGUGAAGAAGGUCUUCGGAUUGUAAAGCACUUUAAGUUGGGAGGAAGGGCAGUAAGUUAAUACCUUGCUGUUUUGACGUUACCAACAGAAUAAGCACCGGCUAACUUCGUG
Molecule: ribosomal RNA, 484 nt
Filed under: uncultured bacterium
Lineage: Bacteria
Description: partial 16S ribosomal RNA
Rfam family: Bacterial small subunit ribosomal RNA
Source: RNAcentral